RNAcentral lists this transfer RNA (98 nucleotides) under Moniliophthora roreri MCA 2997. It matches the Rfam family "tRNA". From Rfam's summary of the family: Transfer RNA (tRNA) molecules are approximately 80 nucleotides in length. Their secondary structure includes four short double-helical elements and three loops (D, anti-codon, and T loops). Further hydrogen bonds mediate the characteristic L-shaped molecular structure. tRNAs have two regions of fundamental functional importance: the anti-codon, which is responsible for specific mRNA codon recognition, and the 3' end, to which the tRNAs corresponding amino acid is attached (by aminoacyl-tRNA synthetases). tRNAs cope with the degeneracy of the genetic code in two manners: having more than one tRNA (with a specific anti-codon) for a particular amino acid; and 'wobble' base-pairing, i.e. permitting non-standard base-pairing at the 3rd anti-codon position. The record is from Rfam by way of RNAcentral. Lineage: Eukaryota; Fungi; Basidiomycota; Agaricomycetes; Agaricales; Marasmiaceae.
GCCCGCCUAGCUCAAUCGGAUAGAGCGUCAGACUCUUAUAGUCGCUGAAGGGAGGGUUUAUGAUCUGAAGGCUGCGAGUUCGACCCUCGCGGUGGGCU